AGCAGCCACCUUUUAAAACGCGUCAAAGCGUAACCUUAGCCCCCAAAAUACCAUUAAUUUUCAUGAACCCCUAAUCUAUAAUGAAUGACUCCAUAUUUAUAUGGAAGACACCAUGCUAGGAUUAGUAACAAGAAUUUAUAAUUCUCCAAAAUGCAAAUAUAAACCAACAUGGAUGGACCAUUGGUAGUUACCGAACCUAAAUUCAAUGCAACAACACCUACAAGAAAACUCUGCAGUACUUACUCGUUAACCUAACACCAGCGCAUUACAGGAAAGAUUUAAAAAAAGAGAAGGAAUUCGGCAAAUGACGGCCCCGCCUGUUUACCAAAAACAUCGCCUCUUGACUUAUAAUAAGAGGUCCAGCCUGCCCAGUGAAUUUUAAACGGCCGCGGUAUCCUAACCGCGCGAAGGUAGCAUAAUCACUUGUUCUUUAAAUGGGGACUCGUAUCAACGGCAUCACGAGGGUUUUACUGUCUCCUCUUUUUGAUCAGUGAAAUUGAUCUUCCCGUGAAGAAGCGGGAAUAAAUUUAUAAGACGAGAAGACCCCAUGGAGCUUUAAACCAAAUAACAACUUAACCACUUAUCCCAUAAUAAAUUUAAGCCCUGUUAUAAGGUUUUUGGUUGGGGUGACCGCGGAGUAAAACACAUCCUCCACGACGAAAAAAACAGAAUUUUUAUUUAAGAACCACACUUCUAGAAAUUAGUAUACUAACGUUUACUGACCCGACAAUCGAUCAACGGACCAAGUUACCCUGGGGAUAACAGCGCAAUCUACUUCAAGAGCUCAUAUCGACAAGUAGGCUUACGACCUCGAUGUUGGAUCAGGGUAUCCCGGUGGUGCAGCCGCUACCGAAGGUUCGUUUGUUCAACGAUUAAAACCCUACGUGAUCUGAU
Molecule: ribosomal RNA, 894 nt
Filed under: Polypedates leucomystax (Java whipping frog)
Lineage: Eukaryota; Metazoa; Chordata; Amphibia; Anura; Rhacophoridae
Description: partial 16S ribosomal RNA
Rfam family: Bacterial large subunit ribosomal RNA
Source: RNAcentral